CUGUUUCGAUGCACCCUUUCUUUCCCUGACAAGGCAGAUACUAUACAUGAAUGUUUGCCUAGUGGCUAUUUCCCCCCAGAAUGCAAUUUUACUAAAGCAUUUCCUUUGGAUGUGGGUGAAGAAAGGAGGGACAGUGUUGGACACGUGUAAAAACCCCAACACAGAAGGCAAUACUGCUCACAAAAAGAACCUUGACAAUAGACUCCACCUCGAAACAGCUGCUCUCCUCCGUGUGAUGAUCGCAGCAUAUUUUCCCUGACAGACGUGGAGUCUGCAGCCAGCAGUGCUCAGGAAGGCACAAGCGCGACGUCGGGACCUGCCUUCACGGCUCCAGGCUGGGUAAGGAAGUAGGCUCUGGGAGAUACAACAGUUUUUUGGAUGCCACUCUUCUGAUAUGUGACAUAGAAUAAAUCACUUAAUUUACUAAAUCCAACUUCCUAUGUAACAUAAGAGGUAUUCUGAAGGAUCUCCAAAGCACUGCAGGCUUUGCAGACUUGCACCAUGACUGAGACACUCCCUUGCCACAGAGAACAAGGCAAGAAGGAGCUAGCCUGGAGAAGAAGCAUUUGAAAGAAUGGUAGCACUAGCUCAUAACACAGUUUCACCUAGGAAAGAGCACAGCAUGGCAGGGGACGAGUGCCAGGCAGUGGGACUGAGGGGCACAUGCUGGAACUCAAGAGGGAGAUGGGCGGGAACUUCAUGCCUUGACCGAAUUUGCGCUGGGUUAUGCUGCAGUCAGAGAGAGCUGUUGGAGACAUUCAAGCUGGAGAAUGACAAAAUUCUGCUUUGUGCUUUCCAAGGGUCAUUCCAGUCCCAUUGGCAGAAAGAGCAUAACGUGUGUCUGACAGGUGGUUUUCAUAGUUGUCUAAACUAAAAUAACAGGGGAAGUAGAGAGUAGUUGGGUUCUGGGAGGAAGCAUCAGCAGAACUUGGAGAUGCUUUAGGUCAGUCCUCUGGAUUUAUAUCUUAAAUCCAUCAUUGUCCCCAAUGCCACAGUUGCUUGGCUGGGCCUCUGUCACCUUGCACUAGAGUUCUGCUGCUACUACUGCAUCUGUGACCUUGUGUUCUUACUUUGGAAGGCAUCCUUUAUUUAACAGCUAGAUUUAGCUUUCUAAAAUGCCAUGCUACACAUAUAAUCUCAUUCUCAACACUUUGACAAAGUUUGCCCAUGGCUUACCAAAUCAAACCCAACUUCUUUAGUCUGGCACCUGAGGCCCUUUGGAAUCUAAAGGGCUUAGACUUUAGUGCUUUGUCCAUUUAAUACAGGGCCCAUUGAUGAAAAGCACUUCUCCAUGAUGUGAGGACAAUCUGGCUGCGACAUCUGUCACCCCGUUGACUGUCAGGGAUGAUUUGGUUGACCUGGCUGGCGAGGCAGGUAUCACCUUUCUCUUUCAAUGUUCCGUGUACGUCCCUCCCUAGAAGCUGCAUGCUUGGUCAAAGAGAAUGCCAACCCUCAAUAGAGGAGGACAGUUCCUCAGUCAAGGAUAGAGGCGUAGCUGUGCUCCCAUGUUAGAACCUCCAAACAAGCUCCCAAAAGAACUCCGCCAGCAUCCCUGAUCACUAGCUGCUUGCUGUGAGCAUUUCUGUUGCCUCACCCCUCUCCAUUCUGCUGCAUGUGUACAUGUCAUUUCUUCUUUGUCCAGGAUCAGAACUUGUUUCUUGGAAUAAUGAAGCUUUUCUUGUGCCUUUAGCUUGUGAGAAACAAAGUUAGCAUUGUCUCCCACCUCUGAGAACUUCGGUAUACUCUGCCAUCAACUGCUAGCAAUUUUUUACCUGACACUGAAAGCAGAAAUCUUAUUUCCUGUGGAGAGGGUUCUCACUGUGCAGAAUUUGUUGUUGAUGAUGUUGUCAAUUAUCUUGUGCUUGCUCCACUCAGAGUGGUAAUGAGGCCUGGGUGACAGGGAGAUGGAAAGGCAGGGGUGGGGAAGGUUCUCAGGCCACAGAAAGGAAAAUCAGAAGGGCCUGACAUGCAGCUCAAAGCUGUUAUGCAAGAGGGAGGUGACUUCCAGCUUCAUCUAACAUACAGCAGAACUAUGAGUUACUCAGGGACAGGCUUCCUUCUGUCUCUUCAAGAUUGCAGUUACUCAUUAAGCACAGUACAGGAGACGCAGAGUCUGUUUUAAGGUGUGGACCAUAGGGCUGAGAAAAGGUGAGGUGAAGACAAGCACAUUAACAAAUCCUGAUAGCAUAAGAGAGCAGGUACAGUGAAAGAAAAAUAUGCAACAGCAGUAGUUCAGAGGAGGAUGAUGCUGCCUGGAGCAGGUUUUCAUUGCUGUGCACUCACUGGGGCUGCAGCUUGGGUGAAGAGAACCUCUCUCAUCCCACCAUGGCUUUUCCAUAUAUUAUUUCACUGCUGUCAGCCCCUUGUACCUUGCUCUAACAGUCUGGGCUCUAGUCACAUCAACCUAGAUUGUAUCUUCCAACCAAGCCUCUCAUCCUGUGUGCUUACUUGGUACCACAGGGCCAAGUAAUCUUUAAAAUGCACAUCAAUCACUGCAAUAUCUUCAGGUCUGCUUCAGGAAGUUGCCAUGAGCUCUGAGGUUCUGCUUUUCCAACUAGGUCCUGGGAGAUGCCAAUGCUGCUGCUCCCUCCUCAAGCUAAACUUAGAGUAGCAAGAUUCCUGCUGCUUCCCUGAGAUGCCUCCGACCUAGUGCUACCCUUUGUGAUGCAUGAGUGGAGUGAAGUGCCUUCCCUGUAGGUUACCCUCUCAGGUCAGGUCUGGCUGUUAUCAGUGUUUUGUUCUCUCUCUUGGCCAGCAAGUAUUGCUCUCCCAGUCAUCUCUUCCAACCAGCAUAGGUUCCUGGAGGGAAGAGCUUGGUCCAUUUCACCUACACCCCAGGCAGCGGCAUCUGUUGCUGAGUUGAGCCUUAAUAUAUAUUUGAUUGAGUGAAUCUGAACUGAACUUGCAUAUGGGUGAAGUAUGUGUGUAU
This is a long non-coding RNA of Octodon degus (degu), 2929 nucleotides long. RefSeq lists it as uncharacterized. The transcript has 5 exons. The record is from RefSeq and is a predicted model, not a curated record. Lineage: Eukaryota; Metazoa; Chordata; Mammalia; Rodentia; Octodontidae.